RNA transcript from Carlito syrichta (Philippine tarsier), 904 nucleotides. It is a transcript of the gene named 40S ribosomal protein S4-like, with no coding region annotated. Lineage: Eukaryota; Metazoa; Chordata; Mammalia; Primates; Tarsiidae. The record is from RefSeq and is a predicted model, not a curated record. The transcript has 3 exons.
AUGGAGGGUGUGGAAGAAGUGAAAGGAGACUGUGAGGACAAAGCUCUGAAUAUUCACAGACUGCCCCAGGGGAUCUUAGCAGGAGGGGGUUCCAGCUCCCCAGACCAGCUGGAGGGACCACUGUUCAUCCACCCACACCUCCCCAGCUCCCCACUCCCCUCCUCCUCCUUUACUGCCUUUUCUCUUCAGGAUCCUAAAGAUAAGCUGGAGCUGACUGAUGAUCUUAAGUGUUUCCCAAUGUGUUGGACAAAGAUGAAAUACGGUCAUGUAGAAGGAGGCGGCUGUCUUUCCGUGCCCUGCACAGCCGUGGUUCGUGGUCCCAAGAAGCAUCUGAAGUGGGUAGCAGCUCCAAAGCAUUGGAUGCUGGAUAAAUUGACCAGUGUGUUUGCUCCUCUUCCAUCCACUGGUCCCCACAAGCUGAGAGAGUGUCUCCCUCUCAUCAUUUUCCUAAGAAACAGACUUAAGUAUGCUCUGACUGGAGAUGAAGUAAAAAAGAUCCUUUUGUGGGUACAGAAGGAAUUCCUCAUCUGGUGACUCAUGAUGCUCGCACCAUCCGCUACCCUGAUCCCCUCACCAAGGUGAAUGACACCAUUCAGAUUGAUUUGGAGGCUGGCAAAAUUACUGAUUUUAUCAAGUUUGACACUGGUAACCUGUGUACGGUACUGGAGGUGCUAACCUGGGAAGAAUUGGUGUGAUCACCAACAGAGAAAGACAUCCUGGAUCUUUUGAUGUGGUUCAUGUAAAAGAUGCCAAUGGCAACAGCUUUGUCACUCGGCUCUCCAACAUUUUUGUUAUUGGCAAAGGCAACAAACUAUGGAUUUCUCUUCCCCAAGGAAAAGGUAUCCGCCUCACCAUUGCUGAAGAGAGAGACAAAAGACUGGCAGCCAAACAGAGUAGUGGGUGA